RNAcentral lists this ribosomal RNA (966 nucleotides) under Triticum aestivum (bread wheat). RNAcentral's name for it is "partial small subunit ribosomal RNA". The record is from RNAcentral. Lineage: Eukaryota; Viridiplantae; Streptophyta; Magnoliopsida; Poales; Poaceae.
AUGCGAGCAGCGGCGGAGGCGGCAUUACCGGGCUCGGGAGCGUGGUGCGGGAUGGCGGGCCGGGAGCAGGAUGGCGACGGCGGGGAGGCGGCGGGAGGCUCGUCGGUGCUGUCCGGGGAGUACCAGGCGCAGGAGAUGUCGACGAUGGUGUCGGCGCUCGCGAGGGUCGUGUCCGGCGGCGGCGGCGGCUGGGCCGACGACGGCUGGGAGGGCCACCCGGCAAUGGGGGGCUACGUGCAUGCGCAGGGAGGCUGCUAUCCCGCCGCGCCGACACCGGAUCAGCUCGCAGCAGGACAGGAGCGGCGGAGCCCGGACGUGCAGCAGAGCGCAGCCAUGGGGGAGCAGUACCCGCACACGUACGGCGGCGAGCCGGCGGCCGCCGCGGAGCAGGCGAGCGCGCCGGAGCGGCGGUACCGCGGCGUGAGGCAGCGCCCGUGGGGCAAGUGGGCCGCGGAGAUCCGCGACCCGCACAAGGCCGCCCGCGUGUGGCUCGGCACCUUCGAGACCGCCGAGGCCGCCGCGCGCGCCUACGACGAGGCCGCGCUCCGCUUCCGCGGCAGCCGCGCCAAGCUCAACUUCCCCGAGGACGCGCGCCUCACCGCCCCGGUGGCACCCACCACCGCGAGCGCGGCGCCGACGGUGGCCUCCUCGGCGGCCGCCUACCCCGCCGGCGCCGUCUCGGACUACUUGCAGUACCAGAUGCUUCUGCGCGCAGGAGGUGGCGGGUUCCCGCCGUACUACGGCGGCGGCGGCGGUUCGUCUUCGGGGUCCUACUCGCUCCCGGAGUCCUCUGUGACCGUGGCCUCCGUGCCGUCCUCUGCCUCCUCUGCUUCGGGUUACGGCGGCGCGGCGGCGGAGCACGGCGAGGCGGCGCAGUGGGCGUGGCCCGCGGAGACUGCAUGGACCUACCCGGCGACCACGGGCUCGUGGUCCGGUUCGAGCCAGUAUCCGCCGCCACCUCAAUAG